CAGUCGAGCGGAACGAGUUAUCUGAACCUUCGGGGAACGAUAACGGCGUCGAGCGGCGGACGGGUGAGUAAUGCCUAGGAAAUUGCCCUGAUGUGGGGGAUAACCAUUGGAAACGAUGGCUAAUACCGCAUAAUACCUACGGGUCAAAGAGGGGGACCUUCGGGCCUCUCGCGUCAGGAUAUGCCUAGGUGGGAUUAGCUAGUUGGUGAGGUAAUGGCUCACCAAGGCGACGAUCCCUAGCUGGUCUGAGAGGAUGAUCAGCCACACUGGAACUGAGACACGGUCCAGACUCCUACGGGAGGCAGCAGUGGGGAAUAUUGCACAAUGGGCGCAAGCCUGAUGCAGCCAUGCCGCGUGUGUGAAGAAGGCCUUCGGGUUGUAAAGCACUUUCAGUCGUGAGGAAGGUAGUGUAGUUAAUAGCUGCAUUAUUUGACGUUAGCGACAGAAGAAGCACCGGCUAACUCCGUGCCAG
Molecule: ribosomal RNA, 472 nt
Filed under: bacterium 1611-S6-10-1.1
Lineage: Bacteria
Description: bacterial SSU rRNA
Rfam family: Bacterial small subunit ribosomal RNA
Source: RNAcentral